GCAGCCGUAGCUCAGUCGCGAGAGCGCUGGCAUGACCAGACGGACGGAGGGCCGCACCCUCCCGGCUGCUCCA
Molecule: transfer RNA, 73 nt
Filed under: Caudoviricetes sp.
Lineage: Duplodnaviria; Heunggongvirae; Uroviricota; Caudoviricetes
Description: tRNA-His
Source: RNAcentral